GUACCAGCAUCAAGAGAAGAUGAAAAAGCAAAACGAAGUCCUGUUUGAAUAUUGUGACUGUUUUUAAAGACAGAUAAAAGGGUAAAGAAAAUAAUUCCCAUUCAUCCUUUUGUUUAGUUUUUGGCAUUGUAGCUAAGAUUCUCCUAGCAAUUGUUUUCCCCUUCUGCCUUAAGGAAAUCCGCUAAAAAUCUUGGGUUUUGGCAGGCUCGAUUUUCUCAUUUUCCCUCAUAACUAAUUCUUCUGCUUUUUAAUCCGGAGAAACUAGGAACAAUCCGGCCCAAGAUGGAAAUAAGUCUGGGAAGCUGCGAAGAGUGUGAUUUCCGAUCGCACCACCCACCGGCCUCCCGCUUCAAAGUUCUCCUGCCCAGUGUGAACCUCACUUCUGGCUUUUUCUACAAAAGUGGCCAUGAGCGCCCAAUGCACAGAAUGAAUUCGGCUACAAAGAGGCCUUUGAGAGCUCCCGAGGAAGUGCCCCACUGGGAAACCAGGUGGAUGGCAAACGUUCCCUUUUCAUUACAAAUGAGUUCAGGGACAGGGCCACCCUGAUGGGACUCUCAACUCCAUCCGAAAGCUAAGCCCCACCAGCCCACUCAUUUGAAAACCAAACAGGUUUCCUUCUGCCUCCCCAUUCCCUGUUCACAAACACGUUUACAAGUGCUUGAUAGGUGACCUUAUUUACUUAGUAACCUGUGGAUUCAUUUAUCUUGAAAUUAGUAGGUAAUGAAGUGGAAAACCUCAACAGCCCUCCCACUAAUUAACAUGAUAAUAAGAUUGUUUUGCUACAGAGGUACAAUUAGCAUGUAUGAGCCAAAGGGGAAGAAAGAUCAAUAAAAUGUCUGAAGGGUACUACUCCCAGGUCUCCAGAGAAGAACAAAGAAGGGAAACUACAGAUUUUAAGACCCAUCCGUGUAAACACAUCCAACUCUGAGACCGGACCCUACUGAAAUGAUUUGAUGCCUGCUGGAGAAGGAGGUGUGGAGAUAACUGAAAGGAAUUAAUUAUAAAGUACACAUUUUGGUGCAGUCGAUGGCCUUUGAAAAUAAAAGGGAAAAACUGGGCAUCUAUAGGUUUUUAAAAACCUGGCCAACAUCUACGUGCUUUGCAUUAAUUUUUAAAGGUAGAUUAUAAUUGCUUGAAAUUUACAUCUUUGGAGUGAAGAGGAGAACCCAUUCUUAUUUCUGGAAGGCAUUUCCAUGAUUUUCUGAAUUGUCCUGGAUUUAAUUAGCAGUAUUUGGGGCCAGUGAAUGGCAGAGUUCUGAAAGAAGGGCUAAGCAUUCCUGGGGAGAAGCUGGAAGUUGCUUCCUGAACAGUCAUCCUAACAGUCAUCCUACUAGACACUAAGUAGGGCUGGGGGCCCAUGUGUGUUGGUGGACACCAAGGAAUGCUUUGAGCGAAGGACCCUGGGGAAGAAGGAAAAGGGAAGGGCUGUGCACACGAGAUCUUCUUGCUUCCUCCUCUGCACACUGGUUUGGUGAAAGGCCAACGCGAGGCUCACUCUGAUGAUUAUCCACUACUUAGUGAGAAAAACCAACACUUCUAGAUUUUAAGUAGAUGCACAGACACCUGCACAAGCCCCUGGUUUUUUUCUGAUGUUUUUAGCCUCAUAACAGACCUUACCUUUGACUUACUGGGUUGUAAGAAUGUGGGAAUUCUUACAAUGAGAAACCAAGAGAGCCAUUCACAACCAUAUGUAAAAAGGAUUACCAAUCUUUUGGAACUUCGGCACACCAUUUUUUUCUCCAUUCCAUAGCAUUGUCACAUAACCGAAAACGCAUGCCCAUAUAGGGCACAUGCAAAUUCUAAAACCCAAGUGAAUUUACUUUAAAAUAAUUUUUAUUUCAGAAUAACUUGAGAAUUUUCCAAUAUCUCCAGAGAUCAUUGGAGGCACCCUAGGGGGUCAUAUAAUCUUGCCUAGGUAAAGCUGCCCUAGAAAAAAGAGUAUUUUAAUAACCAAAGUCGAUUCCUCUUAGGAAGAAUUCCCUUUGUGUUCUAUAACCUAGCUUUAAAUCCAAAGUCCUCAUCUUUGAACAAUCAGAGCAAUAUGAUGUAGCCCAGGAGAGUCAGAAGUUGAAUUCCAUUCAGAGAAAUGUGCAACUCGGAGACAUGAAACUGCACCGCAUUUGCACUGGCUAAGUCUUUCAGGGAUAAAACAAUAGUCCCCACUUGUUGGGUGCAACACAUAUCGUCUAGUUUUCUCAAUCCUCAAAGGUAAAUAUUAAUGCCUCCAUUUUACAGAUAGCAAAACUCAGGCUUAGAGAGCCCUGUAGCCAUCUCAAAGUCCAACAGCCAGUUGAAAGAGAGGUGGAAUUAAACGUAAAUUCUUUUGGUUCUAGCAAAAGCCCCUAUCAGUAUCUCACCGUCUUUCUUGGGAUGAUGAACUGUCUUGCUGGAAACCCCCUUAAGAGCCAGUUUUGAAAUUGUUUUGAAGUCCCCCUGACCUCUGUCUCCAGAAAGCAUUUAUUCUUUGGUGUACUUACUAUAUUGGCAACUUAUGUUAAUAAUUUUUAAAGCCAUGACCCACUGUGAGGUGCUAAACAUUUCUUCUGGCUAGAACUUCUCCGACAGCAUAUAUAAAGCUUCUCACAAGUUAACAGCAAGCUUCCUUCAUUUGGUUUUAAUGACUUUGUAAAAUAAAUACCCAAGAUUGUUACUAAAAAAUAAAAUAAAGUGUUUCAGUGGGAGAAUAUAGAAGAUAUAAAUUUAACUUAAUAUAAUUCCCUUACUCCUUGUCAAGGGUGAACAUGUGACGAGAAAUUUUUAGAAGGGCUCCGAUGAGCUGGUUGUAAUAAGUAGCCUUUUUGGCCUAGAUUUGUAUCUUCCUUGAGAAUAGUAGUAAUUUUCGAGUUUCUUUCCAGAUUUUUUUUCCUUGCAUAUCCACUGUACAAUUGGGAUCUUGUCUCAAGGUGUGAAGCUUUUGCAAAUUUAUAAAAUCAUGUCGUCUGCCUUGCGUUCUUGGGAAGUACCUGACAUGAACAAGACUGAAUCCCCAGACUGCUCACAAGAUCACAACUGCCUCUCUUGUCACCCGGCUCUGUGAGCGUGGGCCAGUUUGGCAUCAUUCUGCUGUUUGGACAGCCCUGUGGAGGCACAGGUCGCUGAGCAUUGUAUUUCAUCCACACAUUUUCUCAACAAUGUUGCCUUGCAGUUUGAAAGACAAGCAGGGUGGCCCAGGUAUCACAUUCCUCCAAGUCUCCCGGGCAGGACUGAGCUUUAAAUGUGUGGGGACCAGUAGCACAUGAGGAGCCUCCCAGGUCAAGGGAAGGCUUGGGAGGCUUGCCACCGUUGUCUACUGGGGAAGGAAAUCCAGGCCCAGUUAAAACCUGGGCUCCUGGGGAGCUGGCUGGGAGAGAGGGCAUGUGAAGGUUAGGAGCCGCUGGAACAGGUGUGAUGUUAGAGUCUCAAGUGAGAGGAUGGCCAUGGUUUUUCCUCAUCUUCGUGCUUAAAGUAGUAGUUUUAGAAGAGCUUCCAGGUGCUUCUGUGAGUCAGGGUUCUCAUGCACUCGUGCUAGUCACCCCGGUAGGUGACUUCAAGGCACUCUGUUCAUAGCCCCUGGUUGCACACUCACAGACAGAAAGUGAGGGACCCAUGGGAUGUGUAAGGAGAAGCACUCUGCCUACAAAACCAUUAGCAUCCUAAGACUGGUCACCAUGGGACAGUGACGACAUGACUUUUGGCUGUCAGUCAGUCCUUUUGAAAUGGAGCAUGCAGUUUCUUUCUCCCCUCCCUCCCCUCCCCUCCCCUCCCCUCCUCCCUCACCCUCCCCUUCUCCUCCCCCUCCCCCACCCCUCCCUUCUGCUCCCUUCCUUUCUUUUCUUGACAGAGUUUCACUGUUGUCAGCCAGGCUGGAGUGCAAUCACACGAUCUCAGCUCACUGCAACCUCCACCUCCGAAGUCAUUCUCCUGCCUCAGCCUCCUGAGCAGCUGGGAUUAUAGGCGCCCGCCACCACAUCCAGCUAAUUUUUUUUGUAUUUUUGGUAGAGGCAGGUUUUCACCAUGUUGGCCAGGUUGGUCUUGAACUCCUGACCUCAGGUGAUCUGCCCACCUCAGACUCCCAAAGUGCUGGGAUUACAGGCAUGAGACACCGCACCCUGGCCUGUAUUCUUUUCUUUUUCAAGCCAGUCAAACUUAACAGUGGGUAAUUCUGUAUUCUUUAUUGGGGUGAAUGAUAGUUACUAAAUAUGAUCUACUAUUAUCUAAAAUAAAUCAUCAGUGCUUUUUA
This is a long non-coding RNA of Homo sapiens (human), 4219 nucleotides long. RefSeq lists it as uncharacterized. The record is from RefSeq and is a predicted model, not a curated record. The transcript has 2 exons. NCBI's taxonomy places the organism in Eukaryota, Metazoa, Chordata, Mammalia, Primates, Hominidae.